GACGAACGCUGGCGGCGUGCCUAAUACAUGCAAGUAGGACGCAGUUGCGAACGGGUGAGUAACGGGUAGGUAACUGCCUAUUAGAGGGGGAUAACUAUUGGAAACGAUAGCUAAUACCGCAUACUAGUAGAUGGACCUGCGUUGUAUUAGCUAGUAGGUAGGGUAAUGGCCUACCUAGGCAACGAUACAUAGCCGACCGUAGAGGGUGAACGGCCACACUGGGGCUGAGACACGGCCCAGACUCCUACGGGAGGCAGCAGUAGGGAAUCUUCGGCAAUGGGGGGAACCCUGACCGCACAACGCCGGGUGAGUGAAGAAGGUUUUCGGAUCGUAAAGCUCUGUUGUUAAGGUAGCGGUACUUAACCAGAAAGGGACGGCUAACUACGUGCCAGCCGCCGCGGUAAUAC
This 407-nucleotide ribosomal RNA is filed under the name uncultured bacterium. Its description in RNAcentral is "partial 16S ribosomal RNA". It matches the Rfam family "Bacterial small subunit ribosomal RNA", at positions 28 to 526 of the family's 1533-position model. The record is from RNAcentral.